ACUUGAUAAGUGACUUAAACUUGAAGGAGGUUAAGUGACAAAUGAAAUGGGAUUUUAUUAGGAUGGUCUAGACUUUUUUUUUUUUUUUUCUUUUUUUUUUUCUACCACACCAAGAAGCAUCCUUUGUGCAGUGUAUGCAUUUAGGCAUCCAGUGCUACUGUGAUGGCUUUUGAAUUCUCUCUUCCUGAAUUGCUAUGAUUUUCCAUACAUUUUACUGGGAUGAGGCAGAGGCCUGUUAAAUUUGAGUUUCUAUGCAGUCUGCUGGGAUGAGGCAGAGACCUGUUAAAUUAAGGUUGCCUGCACAUCCUUGGAUUGCAUGAUGUCCAUAGAUGCUGUAUUGGUGGGUCCCACUUUUGUCCUGGUGGCCAUAGCGUGGUUGUCGUGAUGAUCAGGUAUCAUCUGCACAAAAUGACCUUUAACCAAGGACUGGCAUCUUUCAGAGGAAUAUUGUUUGUCCGACACUAAGUGGGUCAAGUCCUUUAGUGGUACCAGGUUGCACACCUGAAGUAGUCUUAACAGUAGGUGCUACCUGAAGUCAUCCAAACGGGACUACAGUGGCAGUUCUGUGCCUACCCUUGGAAGUUCUGUACCCACUUCAUACUGAAGAUGGUGGUUCCAUGACUGGCUGAUUAAGGAUAUUGUCCUGUGUACAGGUUGCCCCAGUUGUAACUUAAUGCUGGUGUUUUGUUGACCUUAAAGGUCACUUAAAUGGCAUCCAGGGAAAAGCUGAAUUGUGGAUGAAACCUUGAUUUGUUGGCUCCUGAUUUCCUAUAGUAUGCUGAAUUGGCAUGUUUAAGACUGACAAUACAAAUGCUCUCCCCACCCCAUUUUGUACUUGUAAUAAAGUCACUUGCUAAUGUAUUACUGCUUUUUGGGAAGUGUCCCCUCUGACAUUUAAGUAGUUUGCUAAAUAAAUGGAUUUGCUCAAUUUCAAA
Long non-coding RNA from Megalobrama amblycephala (Wuchang bream), 935 nucleotides. RefSeq lists it as uncharacterized. NCBI's taxonomy places the organism in Eukaryota, Metazoa, Chordata, Actinopteri, Cypriniformes, Xenocyprididae. The transcript has 13 exons. The record is from RefSeq and is a predicted model, not a curated record.